AAUGUAACCGGACCGUUCCUUUGCCGUAAAACGCACUGGAUUGGAAAGGGAGAUAUCAUACACCCUAUAUUUAUUUACUUUUGUUGCUUUGGUGGGCCGUCCUUUACGGCGUCGGCCUCGGCUGAUCGCGCCCGCCAGAGGACCCAAACUCUUUUAUUAGUGAUGUCUGAGUACUAUAUAAUAGUUAAAACUUUCAACAACGGAUCUCUUGGUUCUGGCAUCGAUGAAGAACGCAGCGAAAUGCGAUAAGUAAUGUGAAUUGCAGAAUUCAGUGAAUCAUCGAAUCUUUGAACGCACAUUGCGCCCGCUGGUAUUCCGGCGGGCAUGCCUGUUCGAGCGUCAUUAUGACCAAUCAAGCUCUGCUUGGCCUUGGGGCCCGCUGUACCGGCGGCCUUUAAAAUCAGUGGCGGUGCCGUCGGGCUCUAAGCGUAGUAAUACUUCUCGCUAUAGGGUCCCGUCGUUCACCCGCCAGAACCCCCAACUUUCUUAGGUUGACCUCGGAUCAGGUAGGG
This 512-nucleotide ribosomal RNA is filed under the name Sordariomycetes sp. Di280-2. RNAcentral describes it as "eukaryotic LSU rRNA". The stretch from base 189 to 342 matches the Rfam family "5.8S ribosomal RNA". Lineage: Eukaryota; Fungi; Ascomycota; Sordariomycetes. The record is from RNAcentral.